RNAcentral lists this ribosomal RNA (386 nucleotides) under uncultured bacterium. RNAcentral describes it as "bacterial SSU rRNA". It matches the Rfam family "Bacterial small subunit ribosomal RNA", at positions 30 to 416 of the family's 1533-position model. The record is from RNAcentral.
AUUGAACGCUGGCGGCAUGCUUUACACAUGCAAGUCGAACGGCAGCGGGGGCUUCGGCCCGCCGGCGAGUGGCGAACGGGUGAGUAAUGCAUCGGAACGUGCCUAGUAGUGGGGGAUAACUACUCGAAAGAGUGGCUAAUACCGCAUGAGAUCUAUGGAUGAAAGCAGGGGACCUUAGGGCCUUGUGCUACUGGAGCGGCCGAUGGCAGAUUAGGUAGUUGGUGGGAUAAAAGCUUACCAAGCCGACGAUCUGUAGCUGGUCUGAGAGGACGAUCAGCCACACUGGGACUGAGACACGGCCCAGACUCCUACGGGAGGCAGCAGUGGGGAAUUUUGGACAAUGGGCGCAAGCCUGAUCCAGCCAUGCCGCGUGAGUGAAGAAGGCC